Molecule: long non-coding RNA, 481 nt
Filed under: Capsicum annuum
Lineage: Eukaryota; Viridiplantae; Streptophyta; Magnoliopsida; Solanales; Solanaceae
Description: long non-coding RNA (CANN_LNC008793)
Source: RNAcentral
CAUCAGCCGCCACUGCCGGAGCUCUGGCGAACAGGCUCCGGCUAACACCACCACUGUCACACUGUCCUUUCUUCUUUUCCCAUAUUCUGGCCACUAAACACCACCUCCAUCCGCAUCACAAAGCCAAACCAGAUCCGCGCCACCUCCACUGGAAACCCCUCUCUCUUCUUUCGUAAUGCCCCGCCGGAGUUGAUCGCUGGCGGGCGGGCUUCAGCCAAGCACACCAGCGGCCCCCCCUCUCCAUUUCUCUUUCAUUUUUCUCUGAUCUUUUCUUUAAUGUGUUGACCGGAUAAGUCUAGAUCUGGACGGACGACUAAUACUCCGGCGCUAUUCCAGCAAAGGCCAUGGAAACAACGUCACUUUCUUCACUAGUUUAUGUUGUUGUCUCCAUUGAAUGGGGUUUUUGAUUUUUUUUUAUGUUAUGUUAUUGUGCAAAUCUGGUUGGAACCUAUAUUUUUAACAAUUUCUUGGUUGUUCGGGC